RNAcentral lists this unclassified non-coding RNA (362 nucleotides) under Rhodococcoides corynebacterioides. Its description in RNAcentral is "Rhodococcus corynebacterioides 16S-23S ribosomal RNA intergenic spacer region". The record is from RNAcentral. Lineage: Bacteria; Bacillati; Actinomycetota; Actinomycetes; Mycobacteriales; Nocardiaceae.
AAGGAGCACAUCUCGGGGCAGUACCACCCACACAGGUGGGAGGGAACCCCCGCAGAGACCACGCCGACCACAUUCGUUGGUCGGGUGGACGCUCAUGGGUGGAACACUGACAACCAGAGCCGGCAACAACGGUCACGCUCAGUCGCGACCAGCCGGCACUAUAUCGAUGCACUGUUGGGUCCUGAGAGAACACGCGAGUGUUACCUCUCUGGCAAGAAACGUAUACAGCGCCCGGAUGUGUCAUACCGCGGCUGGUGUUCCUCCCCUUGUCGGGGUGGGGGUGCCGGUGGGUCUGGUGUCACGGUGAGUUCGGGUGGUGUGCGUUGUUUGAGAACUGCACAGUGGACGCGAGCAUCUUUGUU